UACGUAGGGUGCGAGCGUUAAUCGGAAUUACUGGGCGUAAAGCGUGCGCAGGCUGUUCUGUAAGUCAGAUGUGAAAUCCCCGAGCUCAACUUGGGAACUGCGUUUGAAACUACAGGACUAGAAUAUGUCAGAGGGGGGUAGAAUUCCACGUGUAGCAGUGAAAUGCGUAGAGAUGUGGAGGAAUACCGAUGGCGAAGGCAGCCCCCUGGGAUAAUAUUGACGCUCAUGCACGAAAGCGUGGGGAGCAAACAGG
This 253-nucleotide ribosomal RNA is filed under the name uncultured bacterium. Its description in RNAcentral is "partial 16S ribosomal RNA". It matches the Rfam family "Bacterial small subunit ribosomal RNA", at positions 524 to 776 of the family's 1533-position model. The record is from RNAcentral.